CACACCUCAGUCAGCAUCCCUCACAUCUAUCAUUAAGCCUCUGCCUGGGGUUAUGGUGGGAGUCUCUGUUGCUGCCAGGAACUCCAUGAGUCUGUAUAGAUGAUGAGAAUAAUAGUCAUCCUUUGGAGACCCGUGGGAGUCAUAAUGAAGUUUCAUAGAAGGUUCUACUAUGGUUAUCAUAGUGACGGAACUGAAUUUAUGUUGCCUAGCGAUGGAGGAGCCAGGAUUGCAGUAUGAAACUCUGCUAUCAAGAUACACUUACUCUGCUGAACAAGACAGAGAAGGCUCUGAGAGACAGUAAGAGCAAAGGAACUCCUCAACAUGGAUUCCUAGGAUGUCCAGGAACUGGUUUUGGUUCCCAGCAUCCACCUCGUCGGGCUGCCUACACCUGCCUGUAACUCCCGCUCCAGGGAUCCGCCACCCUCUUCUGGCCUCAGUGAACAUUGCACUCACGUACACAAGCUCACAUGCACACAUAAACUCAAGUUUUAAAAAUCUUUUAAGAAUAAAUGAAUGUAUUCGUU
Molecule: non-coding RNA, 524 nt
Organism: Rattus norvegicus (Norway rat)
Lineage: Eukaryota; Metazoa; Chordata; Mammalia; Rodentia; Muridae
Source: RefSeq, a predicted model, not a curated record